This 1058-nucleotide ribosomal RNA is filed under the name Leptospirillum ferrooxidans. RNAcentral's name for it is "bacterial SSU rRNA". It matches the Rfam family "Bacterial small subunit ribosomal RNA", at positions 56 to 1088 of the family's 1533-position model. Lineage: Bacteria; Pseudomonadati; Nitrospirota; Nitrospiria; Nitrospirales; Nitrospiraceae. The record is from RNAcentral.
UGCAAGUCCAACGUGAAAGGGGAGCAAUCCCCCGGUAGGGUGGCAAACGGGUGAGUAAUACAUGGGUGAUCUACCUUAGGGAUGGGGAUAUCCUUCCGAAAGGAGGGGCAAUACCGAAUAUUGUCCGGAGCCGUGAAGGGUUCCGGGGAAAGGGAGGCCUCUGAUACAAGCUUUCGCCUUAAGAUGAGCCCAUGGCCCAUCAGCUAGUUGGUAGGGUAAAGGCCUACCAAGGCUACGACGGGUCGCUGGUCUGAGAGGACGACCAGCCACACUGGCACUGAGAUACGGGCCAGACUCCUACGGGAGGCAGCAGUGAGGAAUAUUGCGCAAUGGGGGAAACCCUGACGCAGCAACGCCGCGUGUGGGAAGAAGGCCUUCGGGUCGUAAACCACUUUUGCACGGGACGAAAAAGGGAUAUCGAACAAAUAUCCCCGAUGACGGUACCGUGAGAAUAAGCCACGGCUAACUCUGUGCCAGCAGCCGCGGUAAGACAGAGGUGGCAAGCGUUGUUCGGAAUUACUGGGCGUAAAGAGUCUGUAGGUGGUUUGUCAAGUCUUUGGUGAAAGGCCGUAGCUUAACUAUGGGAAUGCCAAAGAGACUGGCAGGCUGGAGGCUGGGAGAGGGAAGCGGAAUUUCUGGUGUAGCGGUGAAAUGCGUAGAUAUCAGAAGGAAGGCCGGUGGCGAAGGCGGCUUCCUGGAACAGUCCUGACACUGAGAGACGAAAGCGUGGGGAGCAAACAGGAUUAGAUACCCUGGUAGUCCACGCCCUAAACGAUGGGUACUAAGUGUGGAGGGGUUAAACCCUCCGUGCCGCAGCAAACGCAGUAAGUACCCCGCCUGGGGAGUACGGCCGCAAGGUUGAAACUCAAAGGAAUUGACGGGGGCCCGCACAAGCGGUGGUGCAUGUGGUUUAAUUCGACGCAACGCGAGGAACCUUACCUAGGCUUGACAUGUGGUGAGUAGCGAACCGAAAGGGGAGCGACCCGUCAAAUCGGGCCAUCACACAGGUGCUGCAUGGCUGUCGUCAGCUCGUGCCCUGAGGUGUUGGGUUCAGUCCC